GUGUUUCGUUUUUGUUUGAUACGUUCUUGACUGUUGUAGUUUGUUGUUGUGCGUCCGAAGACGACAUUGCACAGAGGUUGGUUGGAUAGUUGAGCCGGUGAGGGCGUUUACUAAUGAUCCUUCCGCAGGUUCACCUACGGAAA
This 143-nucleotide unclassified non-coding RNA is filed under the name uncultured fungus. RNAcentral's name for it is "sequence contains ITS1". Lineage: Eukaryota; Fungi. The record is from RNAcentral.